GAUGAACGCUGGCGGCGUGCCUAAUACAUGCAAGUCGAGCGAGCAGACGAGGAGCUUGCUCCUCUGACGUUAGCGGCGGACGGGUGAGUAACACGUGGAUAACCUACCUAUAAGACUGGGAUAACUUCGGGAAACCGGGGCUAAUACCGGAUAAUAUAUUGAACCGCAUGGUUCAAUAGUGAAAGACGGUUUUGCUGUCACUUAUAGAUGGAUCCGCGCCGCAUUAGCUAGUUGGUAAGGUAACGGCUUACCAAGGCAACGAUGCGUAGCCGACCUGAGAGGGUGAUCGGACACACUGGAACUGAGACACGGUCCAGACUCCUACGGGAGGCAGCAGUAGGGAAUCGUCCGCAAUGGGCGAAAGCUUGACGGAGCAACGCCGCGUGAGUGAUGAAGGUCUUCGGAUCGUAAAACUCUGUUAUUAGGGAAGAACAAAUGUGCAAGUAACUAUGCACGUCUUGACGGUACCUAAUCAGAAAGCUACGGCUAACUACGUG
Molecule: ribosomal RNA, 497 nt
Filed under: uncultured bacterium
Lineage: Bacteria
Description: partial 16S ribosomal RNA
Rfam family: Bacterial small subunit ribosomal RNA
Source: RNAcentral